This 264-nucleotide ribosomal RNA is filed under the name uncultured archaeon. RNAcentral describes it as "partial 16S ribosomal RNA". It matches the Rfam family "Archaeal small subunit ribosomal RNA", at positions 714 to 982 of the family's 1478-position model. The record is from RNAcentral.
AGACGUCUACAUUAGAUACCCCCGUAGUCCCUGCCGUAAACUAUGCGCGUUAGGUGUGUCGGUGACCACGAGUUACCGAGGUGCCGAAGGGAAACCGUGAAACGUGCCGCCUGGGAAGUACGGUCGCAAGGCUGAAACUUAAAGGAAUUGGCGGGGAGCACCACAACGGGUGGAGCCUGCGGUUUAAUUGGACUCAACGCCGGGAAGCUCACCGGAUAAGACAGCGGAAUGAUUGCCGGGCUGAAGACUCUGCAUGACUAGCUG